UCGAGCGGACAGAUGGGAGCUUGCUCCCUGAUGUUAGCGGCGGACGGGUGAGUAACACGUGGGUAACCUGCCUGUAAGACUGGGAUAACUCCGGGAAACCGGGGCUAAUACCGGAUGGUUGUUUGAACCGCAUGGUUCAAACAUAAAAGGUGGCUUCGGCUACCACUUACAGAUGGACCCGCGGCGCAUUAGCUAGUUGGUGAGGUAACGGCUCACCAAGGCAACGAUGCGUAGCCGACCUGAGAGGGUGAUCGGCCACACUGGGACUGAGACACGGCCCAGACUCCUACGGGAGGCAGCAGUAGGGAAUCUUCCGCAAUGGACGAAAGUCUGACGGAGCAACGCCGCGUGAGUGAUGAAGGUUUUCGGAUCGUAAAGCUCUGUUGUUAGGGAAGAACAAGUACCGUUCGAAUAGGGCGGUACCUUGACGGUACCUAACCAGAAAGCCACGGCUAACUACGUGCCAGCAGCCGCGGUAAUACGUAGGUGGCAAGCGUUGUCCGGAAUUAUUGGGCGUAAAGGGCUCGCAGGCGGUUUCUUAAGUCUGAUGUGAAAGCCCCCGGCUCAACCGGGGAGGGUCAUUGGAAACUGGGGAACUUGAGUGCAGAAGAGGAGAGUGGAAUUCCACGUGUAGCGGUGAAAUGCGUAGAGAUGUGGAGGAACACCAGUGGCGAAGGCGACUCUCUGGUCUGUAACUGACGCUGAGGAGCGAAAGCGUGGGGAGCGAACAGGAUUAGAUACCCUGGUAGUCCACGCCGUAAACGAUGAGUGCUAAGUGUUAUGGGGUUUCCGCCCCUUAGUGCUGCAGCUAACGCAUUAAGCACUCCGCCUGGGGGAGUACGGUCGCAAGACUGAACUCAAAGGAAUUGACGGGGGCCCGCACAAGCGGUGGAGCAUGUGGUUU
RNAcentral lists this ribosomal RNA (904 nucleotides) under Bacillus tequilensis KCTC 13622. RNAcentral's name for it is "bacterial SSU rRNA". It matches the Rfam family "Bacterial small subunit ribosomal RNA", at positions 62 to 947 of the family's 1533-position model. Lineage: Bacteria; Bacillati; Bacillota; Bacilli; Caryophanales; Bacillaceae. The record is from RNAcentral.